CUUAACACAUGCAAGUCGAACGAAUUUAGGGGGCAACCUCUAAGUUAGUGGCAAACGGGUGAGUAAUGCAGAGGAAUCUACCUAGCAGUGCGGAAUAACUUUGGGGAACCAAUGCUAAUACCGUAUAUUACCGAUUCGUCGGGAAAGUUUUUCGCUGUUAGAUGAGCCUCUGUCGGAUUAGCUAGUUGGUAGGGUAAUGGCCUACCAAGGCGAUGAUCCGUAGCUGGUUUGAGAGGAUGAUCAGCCACAUUGGGACUGAGACACGGCCCAAACUCC
This 276-nucleotide ribosomal RNA is filed under the name unidentified marine bacterioplankton. Its description in RNAcentral is "partial 16S ribosomal RNA". It matches the Rfam family "Bacterial small subunit ribosomal RNA", at positions 47 to 339 of the family's 1533-position model. The record is from RNAcentral.